This 21-nucleotide non-coding RNA is filed under the name Arabidopsis thaliana (thale cress). The record is from RNAcentral. Lineage: Eukaryota; Viridiplantae; Streptophyta; Magnoliopsida; Brassicales; Brassicaceae.
UGUGCGCCGUAAUUUAUACAC